Molecule: ribosomal RNA, 407 nt
Filed under: uncultured bacterium
Lineage: Bacteria
Description: partial 16S ribosomal RNA
Rfam family: Bacterial small subunit ribosomal RNA
Source: RNAcentral
AUUGAACGCUGGCGGCAGGCCUAACACAUGCAAGUAGAGCGGAGCGGCGGACGGGCGAGUAAUGCCUAGGAAGCUGCCUGGUAGGGGGGGAUAACGUCCGGAAACGGGCGAUAAUACCGCAUACUAGCAGAUGAGCCUAGGUCGGAUUAGCUAGUUGGUGGGGUAAAGGCCUACCAAGGCGACGAUCCGUCACUGGUCUGAGAGGAUGAUCAGUCACACUGGAACUGAGACACGGUCCAGACGCCUACGGGAGGCAGCAUUGGAGAAUAUUGGACAAUGGGCGAAAGCCUGAUCCAGCCAUGCCGCGUGUGUGAUGAAGGUCUUCGGAGUGUAAAGCACGUUAAGUUGGGAGGCGUUACCAACAGAAUAAGCACCGGCGAACUUCGUGCCAGCAGCCGCGGUAAUUC